UAUAAGACUGGGAUAACUUCGGGAAACCGGAGCUAAUACCGGAUAACACUUGGAACCGCAUGGUUCUAAAGUGAAAGAUGGUUUUGCUAUCACUUAUAGAUGGACCCGCGCCGUAUUAGCUAGUUGGUAAGGUAACGGCUUACCAAGGCAACGAUACGUAGCCGACCUGAGAGGGUGAUCGGCCACACUGGAACUGAGACACGGUCCAGACUCCUACGGGAGGCAGCAGUAGGGAAUCUUCCGCAAUGGGCGAAAGCCUGACGGAGCAACGCCGCGUGAGUGAUGAAGGGUUUCGGCUCGUAAAACUCUGUUAUUAGGGAAGAACAAAUGUGUAAGUAACUAUGCACAUCUUGACGGUACCUAAUCAGAAAGCCACGGCUAACUACGUGCCAGCAGCCGCGGUAAUACGUAGGUGGCAAGCGUUAUCCGGAAUUAUUGGGCGUAAAGCGCGCGUAGGCGGUUUCUUAAGUCUGAUGUGAAAGCCCACGGCUCAACCGUGGAGGGUCAUUGGAAACUGGGAAACUUGAGUGCAGAAGAGGAAAGUGGAAUUCCAUGUGUAGCGGUGAAAUGCGCAGAGAUAUGGAGGAACACCAGUGGCGAAGGCGACUUUCUGGUCUGUAACUGACGCUGAUGUGCGAAAGCGUGGGGAUCAAACAGGAUUAGAUACCCUGGUAGUCCACGCCGUAAACGAUGAGUGCUAAGUGUUAGGGGGUUUCCGCCCCUUAGUGCUGCAGCUAACGCAUUAAGCACUCCGCCUGGGGAGUACGACCGCAAGGUUGAAACUCAAG
Molecule: ribosomal RNA, 788 nt
Filed under: uncultured Staphylococcus sp.
Lineage: Bacteria; Bacillati; Bacillota; Bacilli; Caryophanales; Staphylococcaceae
Description: bacterial SSU rRNA
Rfam family: Bacterial small subunit ribosomal RNA
Source: RNAcentral